CCUACGGGGGGCAGCAGUGAGGAAUAUUGGUCAAUGGACGAGAGUCUGAACCAGCCAAGUAGCGUGAAGGAUGACUGCCCUAUGGGUUGUAAACUUCUUUUAUAUGGGAAUAAAAUGUUCCACGUGUGGGAUUUUGUAUGUACCAUAUGAAUAAGGAUCGGCUAACUCCGUGCCAGCAGCCGCGGGAAUACGGAGGAUCCGAGCGUUAUCCGGAUUUAUUGGGUUUAAAGGGAGCGUAGGUGGAUUGUUAAGUCAGUUGUGAAAGUUUGCGGCUCAACCGUAAAAUUGCAGUUGAAACUGGCAGUCUUGAGUACAGUAGAGGUGGGCGGAAUUCGUGGUGUAGCGGUGAAAUGCUUAGAUAUCACGAAGAACUCCGAUUGCGAAGGCAGUUCACUGGACUGCAACUGACACUGAGGCUCGAAAGUGUGGGUAUCAAACAGGAUUAGAUACCCCUGUAGUC
Molecule: ribosomal RNA, 460 nt
Filed under: uncultured bacterium
Lineage: Bacteria
Description: partial 16S ribosomal RNA
Rfam family: Bacterial small subunit ribosomal RNA
Source: RNAcentral